RNAcentral lists this ribosomal RNA (492 nucleotides) under uncultured bacterium. Its description in RNAcentral is "partial 16S ribosomal RNA". It matches the Rfam family "Bacterial small subunit ribosomal RNA", at positions 29 to 507 of the family's 1533-position model. The record is from RNAcentral.
AGUGAACGCUGGCGGUAGGCCUAACACAUGCAAGUCGAACGGCAGCACAGUACGAGCAUGCUCUUCCGGGUGGCGAGUGGCGGACGGGUGAGGAAUACAUCGGCAUCUACUUUUUCGUGGGGGAUAACGUCGGGAACCUUACGCUAAUACCGCAUACGAUCUACGGGUGAAAGCAGGAGAUCUUCGGACCUUGCGCGAUCGCAUGAGCUGAUGUCGGAUUAGCUAGUUGGCGGGGUAAAGGCCCACCAAGGCGACGAUCCGUAGCUGGUCUGAGAGGCUGAACAGCCACACUGGAACUGAGACACGGUCCAGACUCCUACGGGAGGCAGCAGUGGGGAAUAUUGGACAAUGGGCGCAAGCCUGAUCCAGCCAUACCGCGUGGGUGAAGAAGGGCUUCGGGUUGGAAAGCCCUUUUGUUGGGAAAGAAAAGCAGCAGGUGAAUACCCCGCUGUUCUGACGGUACCCAAAGAAUAAGCACCGGCUAACUUCGUG